Phyllostomus hastatus (greater spear-nosed bat) is the source of this 871-nucleotide long non-coding RNA. RefSeq lists it as uncharacterized. The transcript is spliced from 4 exons. The record is from RefSeq and is a predicted model, not a curated record. Lineage: Eukaryota; Metazoa; Chordata; Mammalia; Chiroptera; Phyllostomidae.
UCUGAGUCCUGCUCUCUCAGGUGCUCCCUCUGAGGAAAGUCGUGUGGUGACUGGGGGAAGUCUCCAGCCAACAACCAGGGAGGAACCGAAGCCUCCCAACAGUUGAGAAGCAAGUCAUCCCUCCGUUGAGCUUUCAGAUGAGCCUGCAGCCCCAGCUGGCACCUGGCUGCCACCUCAGGACACAUUUUUGAGUCGGAGGCACCCAGAGGAGUGGCGCCUGGACUCCUGACCCGCAGAAACAGUUUCCAACAGAACGUAACUGUAAUUUUCCUUCACCUCAGAGUCUACUGGUAAGGAUGUCAGUGUGACCGGGGAAAUUCCCUCAACUGUCUGUCUACAAGAGACUUUCAAAUCCCUCAAGCAAUUGCUAAGUGAUCUUAGAACUAAAGUUGCCUGAAUCUAGAGAUUUUUGGUCAGAGUCGCUUCAUUGGAAGUUUGUAGUGAAACAUCGCCCUCUUCUGGACAUUUGGGCAUCAUACAAUGAAGAUGGACAAAGUAUUUUUGAAAGAGCUAAAGUACAAUUGUGCUGAAUGACAAUGAACAGCUGUUGUUAUCACUUAUCAUAUGUAUGCUUUACUACUCAAAGUGACUCCUCACAAUGGAAUAAGAAAAACAUUUUGGAACUUGCAGAGCAGUAAUUUUCCAUUUUUAUGAAGGUGGCUGAGUGCUGGGUACAGGAGUAGAUAAAAGUUUUAACUAUUAGGAAAUGUCUUAACUAUCCUAUAAUAAUACCUAACUAUAAUAAUACUAUAUAAAUAAACUAUAAUAAUAAUAAUACCUAAACCAUCAGAAUCAAAUAGCUCCAAUGAGCCCUGAGUAGGAAGAACAUCAUAUGUAUAAGAUAAUUGGAGAAAGAACACAAUGAAUAGAG